Molecule: ribosomal RNA, 253 nt
Filed under: uncultured bacterium
Lineage: Bacteria
Description: partial 16S ribosomal RNA
Rfam family: Bacterial small subunit ribosomal RNA
Source: RNAcentral
UACGUAGGGUGCGAGCGUUAAUCGGAAUUACUGGGCGUAAAGCGUGCGCAGGCGGCUUUGUAAGCCAGAUGUGAAAUCCCCGGGCUUAACCUGGGAACUGCGUUUGAGACUGCAAGGCUAGAGUGUGGCAGAGGGGGGUAGAAUUCCACGUGUAGCAGUGAAAUGCGUAGAGAUGUGGAGGAAUACCGAUGGCGAAGGCAGCCCCCUGGGUCAACACUGACGCUCAUGCACGAAAGCGUGGGGAGCAAACAGG